Molecule: ribosomal RNA, 274 nt
Filed under: uncultured bacterium
Lineage: Bacteria
Description: partial 16S ribosomal RNA
Rfam family: Bacterial small subunit ribosomal RNA
Source: RNAcentral
AUACGAAAGGUGCAAGCGUUGUUCGGAUUUACUGGGCGUAAAGAGAUCGUAGGUGGUUUAUUAAGUCGGAUGUGAAAUCCCGGGGCUCAACCUCGGAACUGCAUUCGAUACUGGUAGACUAGAGUUUGGGAGGGGUAAGCGGAAUUCCGUGUGUAGCAGUGAAAUGCGUAGAUAUACGGAGGAACACCUGAGGCGAAGGCGGCUUACUGGACCAAUACUGACACUGAGGAUCGAAAGCGUGGGUAGCAAACAGGAUUAGAAACCCUAGUAGUCC